UAGGGAAUCUUUGGCAAUGGACGAAAGUCUGACCGAGCAACGCCGCGGGAGUGAAGAAGGUUUUCGGAUCGUAAAACUCUGUUGUUAGAGAAGAACAAGGACGUUAGUAACUGAACGUCCCCUGACGGUAUCUAACCAGAAAGCCACGGCUAACUACGUGCCAGCAGCCGCGGUAAUACGUAGGUGGCAAGCGUUGUCCGGAUUUAUUGGGCGUAAAGCGAGCGCAGGCGGUUUCUUAAGUCUGAUGUGAAAGCCCCCGGCUCAACCGGGGAGGGUCAUUGGAGACUGGGAGACUUGAGUGCAGAAGAGGAGAGUGGAAUUCCAUGUGUAGCGGUGAAAUGCGUAGAUAUAUGGAGGAACACCAGUGGCGAAGGCGGCUCUCUGGUCUGUAACUGACGCUGAGGCUCGAAAGCGUGGGGAGCAAACAGG
This 429-nucleotide ribosomal RNA is filed under the name Gemmatimonadota bacterium. RNAcentral describes it as "Gemmatimonadetes bacterium partial 16S ribosomal RNA". It matches the Rfam family "Bacterial small subunit ribosomal RNA", at positions 355 to 776 of the family's 1533-position model. Lineage: Bacteria; Pseudomonadati; Gemmatimonadota. The record is from RNAcentral.